This 147-nucleotide unclassified non-coding RNA is filed under the name uncultured Chaetosphaeriaceae. RNAcentral describes it as "sequence contains ITS2". Lineage: Eukaryota; Fungi; Ascomycota; Sordariomycetes; Chaetosphaeriales; Chaetosphaeriaceae. The record is from RNAcentral.
CAACCCUCAGGCCCUGCCUGGCGUUGGGGUCCUGCGCCUGCAGACCCCCAAAGACAGCGGCGGGUGCGUCCUCCAACCGAACGUAGUAGUUACAUCUCGUUCUGGCGCGGGGCGCGCUCCGGCCGUAAAACCCCCCAUCUUUUACAU